GGCGGGCUGGAACCUCUCGGGGUUACAGCCUUGCUGAAUUAUUCACCCUUGUCUUUUGCGUACUUCUUGUUUCCUUGGUGGGUUCGCCCACCACUAGGACAAACAUAAACCUUUUGUAAUUGCAAUCAGCGUCAGUAACAAAUUAAUAAUUACAACUUUCAACAACGGAUCUCUUGGUUCUGGCAUCGAUGAAGAACGCAGCGAAAUGCGAUAAGUAGUGUGAAUUGCAGAAUUCAGUGAAUCAUCGAAUCUUUGAACGCACAUUGCGCCCUUUGGUAUUCCAAAGGGCAUGCCUGUUCGAGCGUCAUUUGUACCCUCAAGCUUUGCUUGGUGUUGGGCGUCUUGUCUCUAGCUUUGCUGGAGACUCGCCUUAAAGUAAUUGGCAGCCGGCCUACUGGUUUCGGAGCGCAGCACAAGUCGCACUCUCUAUCAGCAAAGGUCUAGCAUCCAUUAAGCCUUUUUUUCAACUUUUGACCUCGGAUCAGGUAGGGAUACCCGCUGAACUUAAGCAUAUCAAUAAGCGGAGGA
This 528-nucleotide small RNA is filed under the name Alternaria longipes. RNAcentral describes it as "eukaryotic LSU rRNA". The stretch from base 154 to 307 matches the Rfam family "5.8S ribosomal RNA". Lineage: Eukaryota; Fungi; Ascomycota; Dothideomycetes; Pleosporales; Pleosporaceae. The record is from RNAcentral.